AGUCCAGGCACGACGCCCUCGACAACGCCUGGCAGCCUGGUCCCUGAGCCACGACGAGCUUUAGAGCAGGCAGUGUCAGUUCGGUACUGGGCGGGUCCGAGCUACGCCCAGACUGCUAUCCCACCCCAUCCCCCAGGAAGCCUCCUCUUUUGCUAAAUUCCUGGCCCAUUUGGAAGACGAAUGAACGUUUGGGUUUGAAGAAAUGGCAGCUCUAAGUCUUGAGUCAAAGAAACUGAUUAGCAAGAAAAUCUAGCAAUCUACAAAAGAAUCCAGGCGGUUAAACAGUUGAGGUAAUUUUCUCUCACCGAGGCUUAUUAACAGAAAAAAAGUUGACAACGUUCCUACUGUGCUCAGGAUAUUGAGUUAGACACUAAGAGUAGUAUAAACAAAAGUACAACAUGCUUCCUUUUCCAGGAAAUUAUUGUUGAGAUAAAGCAUAAACUCUGCAUGUGUUUUUUUUUUCUUUUUUAAGUAUGUCUACAAGAUUCUGGGAAUACUGAAGAUGAGUUUGUUACCUACUCAACAUUCUUUUCUUCCUCCUCCCUUGCCAACAGAAUCCUGAUGUUCAGGAAUCCCUCCCCCUUAUGCACAGUUGGUGUAGCUCAGCAUCCUCCGCUCCAGGGUGGUCUGCUGGUCUAAGGGUAAUUAUCACCCUCUUGCCAGGGACUGGAUUAGGAUUGUGCAUGUUGCCCAUUUCACCUCCAUGAGUUGCAACAAUAGGUUGGCAGGAUGCUUCCAGGAAAGCUUUUCCAGGAGAACUUUCAGAAGUAAUUCACACCUACUUUGGACAUGUUUGAACUUGGAUAUGAGGCUGGAAAUUGGUACAGUCCUUUUGACAGCAACCUGACUAUGAAGGGAGGUAAAGUAUGGAGCUGAAAUAAUGGGAUUACAUCAACUCAAAUCCAUCCUACUUAUGGAUCUCCAGUUGAGUUAAUAAACUUCCUUACAGUUUAAA
Manis javanica (Malayan pangolin) is the source of this 955-nucleotide non-coding RNA. NCBI's taxonomy places the organism in Eukaryota, Metazoa, Chordata, Mammalia, Pholidota, Manidae. The record is from RefSeq and is a predicted model, not a curated record.